CGGCGUGGAUUAGGCAUGCAAGUCGUACGCACAGCAAUGUGAGUGGCGCAAGGGUGAGUAAUACGAAGGUAACCAACCCUGAAGUUGGGCAUAGCCGCGGGAAACUGCGGGUAAUUCCCAGCGACGUUGCGAGAUGGCAUCAUCUUGCAACCAAAGGUGUGAUUCCGCUUUAGGACGGGCCUUCGUGGUAUUAGGUAGUUGGUGAGGUAACGGCUCACCAAGCCUACGAUGCCUACCGGGUGUGAGAGCAUGACCCGGCACACUGGAACUGAGACACUGUCCAGACACCUACGGGUGGCUGCAGUCGAGAAUCUUCGGCAAUGGGCGAAAGCCUGACCGAGCGACGCCGCGUGAGGGAUUGAAGGCCUUCGGGUUGUAAACCUCUUUCGUAGAGGAGGAAGGGGCUGUGAAGAACAGUCCUUGACCUAUUCUAGGAAGAAGCUUGGGCUAAGUUCGUGCCAGCAGCCGCGGUAAGACGAACCAAGCGAACGUUAUUCGGAAUUACUGGGCUUAAAGCGCGUGUAGGCGGACUACCACGUUGGUUGUUGAAAUCCCCCGGCUUAACCGGGGAACUGGCACCAAUACGAGUAGUCUGGAGGUGGGUAGGGGAGACUGGAACUUCCGGUGGAGCGGUGAAAUGCGUUGAGAUCGGAAGGAACGCCCGCGGCGAAAGCGAGUCUCUGGACCCAUACUGACGCUGAGACGCGAAAGCCAGGGGAGCAAACGGGAUUAGGUACCCCGGUAGUCCUGGCUGUAAACAUU
RNAcentral lists this ribosomal RNA (762 nucleotides) under uncultured organism. RNAcentral describes it as "bacterial SSU rRNA". It matches the Rfam family "Bacterial small subunit ribosomal RNA", at positions 40 to 810 of the family's 1533-position model. The record is from RNAcentral.